RNAcentral lists this ribosomal RNA (433 nucleotides) under uncultured bacterium. RNAcentral describes it as "partial 16S ribosomal RNA". It matches the Rfam family "Bacterial small subunit ribosomal RNA", at positions 30 to 507 of the family's 1533-position model. The record is from RNAcentral.
AGCGAACGCUGGCGGCAGGCUUAACACAUGCAAGUCGAGCGGGCCCUUCGGGGUCAGCGGCGGACGGGUGAGUAACGCGUGGGAACGUGCCUUCUGGUCUGGAAUAACCCUGGGAAACUAGGGCUAAUACCGGAUACGCCCUUUUGGGGAAAGGUUUACUGCCGGGAGAUCGGCCCGCGUCUGAUUAGCUAGUUGGUGGGGUAACGGCCUCCCAAGGCGACGAUCAGUAGCUGGUCUGAGAGGAUGGUCAGCCACACUGGGACUGAGACACGGCCCAGACUCCUACGGGAGGGAGGAGGGGGGAAUAUUGGAAAAGGGGGGCAAAGCCGAACCCGCCCUGGCGGGGGAGGGGAGAAGGGCUUAGGGGUGGAAAACUCUUUUUUCCGGGAAGAAAAUGACGGGACCGGGGGAAAAAGCCCCGGCUAACUUCGUG